GACGAACGCUGGCGGCGUGCUUAACACAUGCAAGUCGAGCGGUAAGGCCCUUCGGGGGUACACGAGCGGCGAACGGGUGAGUAACACGUGGGUGACCUGCCCUCAGCUCUGGGAUAAGCCUGGGAAACCGGGUCUAAUACCGGAUAUGACUCCAUGACGCAUGUUGUGGGGUGGAAAGCCUUGUGCGGCUGGGGAUGGGCCCGCGGCCUAUCAGCUUGUUGGUGGGGUGAUGGCCUACCAAGGCGACGACGGGUAGCCGGCCUGAGAGGGCGACCGGCCACACUGGGACUGAGACACGGCCCAGACUCCUACGGGAGGCAGCAGUGGGGAAUCUUGCGCAAUGGGCGAAAGCCUGACGCAGCGACGCCGCGUGAGGGAUGACGGCCU
This 387-nucleotide ribosomal RNA is filed under the name uncultured bacterium. RNAcentral describes it as "bacterial SSU rRNA". It matches the Rfam family "Bacterial small subunit ribosomal RNA", at positions 28 to 417 of the family's 1533-position model. The record is from RNAcentral.